AUUGAACGCUGGCGGCAUGCUUUACACAUGCAAGUCGAACGGUAACAGGGUGCUUGCACCGCUGACGAGUGGCGAACGGGUGAGUAAUGCGUCGCAACGCGCCGAGGAGUGGUGGAUAACGCAGCGAAAGUUGUGCUAAUACCGCAUACGUACUGAGGUAGAAAGUGGGGGACCUUCGGGCUUCACGCUAUUGGAGCGGCCGACGUCUGAUUAGCUAGUGGGUGAGGUAAAGGCUCACCUAGGCGACGAUCAGUAGCGGGUCUGAGAGGAUGAUCCGCCACACUGGGACUGAGACACGGCCCGGACUCCUACGGGAGGCAGCAGUGGGGAAUUUUGGACAAUGGGCGAAAGCCUGAUCCAGCCAUGCCGCGUGUCUGAAGAAGGCCUUCGGGUUGUAAAGGACUUUUGUCAGGGAGGAAAUCCCUAGUGCUAAUAACACUGGGGGAUGACAGUACCUGAAGAAUAAGCACCGGCUAACUACGUGCCAGCCGCCGCCGUAA
Molecule: ribosomal RNA, 500 nt
Filed under: uncultured bacterium
Lineage: Bacteria
Description: partial 16S ribosomal RNA
Rfam family: Bacterial small subunit ribosomal RNA
Source: RNAcentral